Neofelis nebulosa (Clouded leopard) is the source of this 1139-nucleotide long non-coding RNA. RefSeq lists it as uncharacterized. Lineage: Eukaryota; Metazoa; Chordata; Mammalia; Carnivora; Felidae. The record is from RefSeq and is a predicted model, not a curated record. The transcript has 2 exons.
CAAGGAUUUGUGAGAUGGUGUCUCAGUUUGCAACCUUAGCCAGGUAAACCGAUCAUUAGCCAGAUUCAAAGUAAACUUUUGCUUCUACAAUAUUUGGAACACAAGGACAUAAAUAGUAAUGGCUUUAUACUUGAGGAAUAAAUACAACCCUUUUUCCAUACUCUGUUCAAGAGAGAUAUUUCCGGUCCAGUUGUGACAUUCUAAGAACUCAACAAUGCUAAAUGCUACCAUCACAGCCCCCAAAAAUGGGAAAAGAAAGACACUUCUCUGUGUUGUUGCUCUUUUAAACCCUAUGGUCAAUGGGAGACGCAAGACUGUUAUCUGAUUAUUAUUUACCAGUGUGAUAGAAUUUUAGUGUGAAACUAAUCCGUGUUCAACUAGGAGUUCACCACGUCUGGCCUUGACUGGAAGAAUUGUGGGUGAAGCCUAAUAAUAAGGAACCUAUCCUAAAAAGAAAAGACGUGGCUGGCAAGAUACUUCUCAGGAUAACGGGACAUGUAAGAGGAGGGCAGCUUCUAGUACACUGCUCCUAUAUUCCAUAGCCUGUCUUCCAUUCCAGGUUUUGGUCAGAGCAAAAACAAUACUAAAACAAUUUUUUUAUUAUAUGCAAUCAAAAAACUAUAAAGAAGGAUUUUAACUCCUGAUUUUUUACUCCUAAGUCAAUUUGGUUUUGACUCAUUCGGGCUUCUGAGAAUACCAAGGGACUUCCAGGCCAUUGGCAAAAUAGUGAGUAUUCCAAUGGGACAUGGCAUCGACGGUUUCAGCAGCGGCCAUAGGAGAAGCAGGCACAGCAUGCACCUGUGUGCCUGACACCGGGCUUAGCACCUUAGCACAGACAAUGACAGGCACAGCAGCAGCAGCCUCUGCCAUGUGGGGCGCCAGUGACAGAGCGCCUUUGGUGGGCAUGACCAGGGGUGUAUAUCAGCAGCAGAGGAGCACAGGACACCAGGGCGGACGUGGAGUAAACGGUGGACAUGCUACCAAGGAAUGAGAGAUUGCAUUCAUGAGCAAAUAAGAUACACCCUCGAAGACAAAGAGGGUAUUUGAGGGCAUGGCAAUGAUGAAGAAUGCUACUGAAAUUUAAUAAGUAAAAUUUAAUGAAAUUUAAGUGAUUGGAUUAAACUUAACGAUUUAAUAAA